This 72-nucleotide transfer RNA is filed under the name Massilia frigida. Its description in RNAcentral is "tRNA-Arg". It matches the Rfam family "tRNA". From Rfam's summary of the family: Transfer RNA (tRNA) molecules are approximately 80 nucleotides in length. Their secondary structure includes four short double-helical elements and three loops (D, anti-codon, and T loops). Lineage: Bacteria; Pseudomonadati; Pseudomonadota; Betaproteobacteria; Burkholderiales; Oxalobacteraceae. The record is from RNAcentral.
UCCGGAAUACCUCAAUGGCAGAGAACUCGGCUUCUAACUGAGUAGGUGCUGGUUCGAUUCCAGCUUCCGGAC